Molecule: unclassified non-coding RNA, 251 nt
Filed under: Paraglomerales sp.
Lineage: Eukaryota; Fungi; Glomeromycota; Glomeromycetes; Paraglomerales
Description: partial contains 5.8S ribosomal RNA and internal transcribed spacer 2
Source: RNAcentral
GUGAAUCAUCAAAUUUUUGAACGCAAAUUGCGCCUUUUUCGGAUGGCAUGUGUGUGUGAGGGCACCAUUUAACAAAUAAUGUGCAGCGUUUUUUGUUGCACACGCUGAUGAGCUUUCCAAGAAUUUUAAAUUUUCGGUGGCGCAUAAUGAACAGUGAGGAAGUUUAUUUCAGUUUGAGUGUAGUAAAAUUUUUGCUUGGGUUGUGAAAAAACAUACUCGGGACAUGGGUGUGGCGCUUUCUUUUUAUCUAU